Long non-coding RNA from Pleuronectes platessa (European plaice), 1173 nucleotides. RefSeq lists it as uncharacterized. Lineage: Eukaryota; Metazoa; Chordata; Actinopteri; Pleuronectiformes; Pleuronectidae. The record is from RefSeq and is a predicted model, not a curated record. The transcript has 4 exons.
AAACAUCCGGUCCUUUAACUCGGGGCUGCGUAAUAACCACCGAGCGCUUGGAAGACAAACGAUGUCAUCUUCCUUCUGUCAGGUGAGUAGUUUAUUGUUUUUAAAGAUCGUUACGAUCUAGGUUUACAGUCCGAGUGCUGAGACAGCGGAUGCGGAGUCCGUUGAUACACACAAUGGAUGCUAUUCUUCAGCUAAUACGCCAUUGAUAGCCACAUGCUACAGCCCACAUUAGCCUGUGCUACCUGGGAGGUGAAUACAUGGUUGUUGAAACCAGUUCAAGACGCUUAGCUCAUCAUUGAGGGACGCUACAAUAUAAAUAUAAACAUGAAUUUGAUUUAUGAAUGCUUUAGAUUAAUAAGGAGUGUAUUUCUCUACCAUUACUCCACAAUAGCAGGUCAAUUUGGUUUAAUGUAUAGUAUGCACUAUGACAAUAAUGUUUUCAUGUUAUGGAGUUGCGAUUCAUUUUAUAAAACAAUUGCUAUGUUCUGUUUUUUAAUCAAGGCGGAUCAAAGUGAAGCUACAGGAGUUUCAUUAACGUCAAUAACUUGGACCGAACACUUUGUUUUGCUUGAUGAAGAGCAGGAAGGGCAGCCUGGAGAGAAAGAGAAGCCGGGUUGAGCCCACUACCAUCAUCCACGUACCACGAGGAAGAUGAGGGAGAGAAAUGAUCCUACCAUUAAAGAGACUGUGAAAAGAACGUUGAGAACAUCACCACUCUACAGGAAGACACAGUCCAGUAAUGGGUGUCAGAAGUUCAGUAGUGAACGACGGGAAGGACUGAUGCAUUUACUGAGACGGGACGUGAGGGCCUACUCUGCGUGCUCAGAGUUCAAGCCCAGCAGGCUGCAGCGGGCCUGACAUAUUCUGGAACAGCAGCACAGUCUUUAGAUGACUCCUCUGAAGAUGAAAACAUGGCGAGUUCUUCUCAAGAGAAGCAGUACAGGUGUGCCUCAGCUCCACGGUCCCUCCUGCAGCCUCCGCUCCUGAUGCUAACCUCAUGUCUCCAUCACACCAAGCAGCAGACCUGGAUUGACAGACCUUUCUCCAGAGCUGCCCCCUCCCUCUGAAACCCCCCUCUCCAAAACACUAUUUGUGGCGUUUUUAAAGUCUUAUUUGCAUGAGAAUUGUUGAUCAUAACAUUUCCAGCAGAUGCCUUAAUAUAAUGUUUGUGCA